Molecule: long non-coding RNA, 790 nt
Filed under: Homo sapiens (human)
Lineage: Eukaryota; Metazoa; Chordata; Mammalia; Primates; Hominidae
Description: non-protein coding CCDC18-AS1:69
Source: RNAcentral
CUUUUCCUAAUAGAGUGAUUUAAGCCUUCAUUUUUAGACAUCUAAGCCCUUGGUGAUCAUCAGCAUAAAAUGUGACAAAUUAAACAAAAGCAAGACAGCACAUCAGAGAACAACUCUGAGGUGGAAUGAUUGGGAACCAAUGAAUAGUUGUUCAGUAAAUGGUUUAUAUUUUACAGAUGAUGAAACUGAAACACAAAAAAUUUAGAUUAACUCUUAGGUGACAAAGCCAGGAUUGAAGCUCAUGCGGUCUGGCUCCAGAACAACUCUUCUUCAUAGUUACGUUAUACUGCCCCUGCAUUGUUGGUAUUGAAAAUAACUGAUACCGUGCUUCCAGAAGAUUUUUCUAACAGUGUUUGCAAGCUAUAAAAUAGUGCUUUCACUUAGAAAAGGCAUGAGCCACCACUUCCAGCAAGGGAUUACUUUUUUAAUCUCUUUUUCAGAUUUUUCACUGUUGGCAUAUAGAAAUCCUACUAAUUUUUGUAUGUUGAUUUUGUAUCCUGGAACUUUACUGAAUCUGUUUAUAAUUUGUGUAUUUGUUUAUAGUAGUUUUUUGGUGGACUCUUUCAGUUUUUCCAAAUAUAAGAUCAUAUCAUUGGCAAACAAGGACAGUUUGAUUUCUUCUAUUCCAAUUUGGAUGCCUUUAUUUCUUUCUGUUGUCUGAUUGCUCUAGUUAGGACUUCCAGUACUAUGUUGAAUAACAGUGAUGAAAGUGGGCAUCCUUGCCAUGUUCCAGAUCUUAGAAAAGAGGCUUUCAGUUUUUCACCAUUCAGUUUGAUACUAGCUGUGGCAG